AGAGUUUGAUCCUGGCUCACAACGAACGCUCUUAUCAGGCCUAGUACAUGCGAGUCCAGCGCAUCCUUCCGGAUGAGCGGCGGACGGAUGAGUAUCGCGUGGGAAUAUGCCCUUCUCUAACGAAUAGCCUCAGGAAACUGACAGUAAUACCUUAUACGCCCUUCAGGGGAAAGAUUUAUCGCAUAAGGAUUAGCCCGCGAUACAUUACGUAGUUGGUGGGGUAAUGGGCUACCAAGCCUACGAUCUAGACCUGGUUUGAGAGGAUGAUCAGCCACACUGGGGCUGAUGACACAGUCCACACUCCUACGGGAGGCAUCACUAUGGAAUCUUACACAAUGGGGGAAACGCCUGAUCUAGCCAUGCCGGCGUGUGUGAUGAAGGCCUUAGGGUCGUUGAGCACUUUCGCCAAACAUGAUAAUGACAGUAUCUGGUACAGAAACGCCGGCUAAGUCCGUGCCAGCACCCGCGGUAAUACGGAUGGGGUGAGCGUUGUUCGGAAUUACUGGGCGUAUAGCGCACGUAGGCGGAUUACUAAGUUAAGGGUGAGAUCCCAGGGCUCUAGCCCUGCAACUGCCUUUAAUACUGCUAGUCUUGAGUUCAAGAGACGUAAGUGGAAUUCCGAGUGUACAGGUGAAAGUCACACAUAUUUGGAGGAACACCAAUGGCUGAAGGCUGCUUACUGGCUCGAAACUGACGCUGAGGUGCGAUAGUGUGUGAUCAAACAGGAUAGCAUACUCAGGUAGUGCACGCAGUCAGUGAUGAACGCCAGACGUCAGCAAUUAUACGAGUAUGUGUCACACUUAACUGACUAAUCAGUAUUCCUGGGGAGUAUGUUGACAAGAUUAAUAGUCAUAGGAAUUGCAGUGGCACCGCACAAGCGGGUGGAUCAUGUGUUUUAAUUAGUAGUAACGCGCAGAGCGUUAUCAACCCAGGACAUCCUGUGAUAGUUCCAGAGAUGGUAAGUUCCGUUCGGGGAGGCAGUGACAGAUCCUGCAUGUCUGUAGUCAAUUCGGGUAGUGUGAUGUCUGGUUAAGUCGGGCAACGAGCGCAAGCCACAUAUUCAGCUUGCCAGCAGGUUAAGAUGGGCAUUCUAGACAAACUGUAAGUGUAUAAGCGGGAGGAAUGGUGUGGAGGAUGUCAAGUCUUCAUCACCCUCAGGGGGUGGGAUCCUCAUGUGAUACAAUGGCAGUAUCAAUGGGUUAAUACCACAAAACUGUAUCAGUUAGGAUAGGGGUCUGCAACUAGUCCCCAUGAAGUAGGUAUCUCUAGUAAUGGGGUAACAACAUGACGCGGUGAAUAUGUUGCCGGUCUUCGUACACGAAGCCCGUCACACCAUGGGAGUUGGUUCUAUCCGACGAUGAUGCGCAAAGCCUUGGUGGAGGCACGACGUCCAAGGUAGGAUCAGAGAGUGGGGUGAAGUCGUAACAAGGUAACC
RNAcentral lists this ribosomal RNA (1435 nucleotides) under uncultured Alphaproteobacteria bacterium. RNAcentral describes it as "partial 16S ribosomal RNA". It matches the Rfam family "Bacterial small subunit ribosomal RNA". The record is from RNAcentral. Lineage: Bacteria; Pseudomonadati; Pseudomonadota; Alphaproteobacteria.